GAAAUAUUAAAGUAAUUCGAUUUGAUUCAGAAUUCGAUUUUUUGGAUUUUAUACCAGCCCUAUUGUCAACACUGAACAUGUCUACCAGCUUUAGAACUGAAGUUCUGAAAUUGAAGUGACGUCACUAAAUUGGAUUUGCAUCGACUCAGUUAUCAAGGAUUUUACUCGAUUUUAAUUUGAAAGGAACAGAGAUUGAACACAACAAUACUACUGCCAUAAAGAGAACAAUAGAAGGGAGAAGAAAACAUUUCUUCCCCAUACUAAAAAUCUAUAUAGACUGAGUUUUUAAAGGUCUAGCAAGAGGCAAUACAUUGCUCAGCGAGAUAGAAAAGGUAGGAGCAAAACAACAGAAGAACCAUUUUUUGUUCUAUUUUUCUUUUUAUAUAAAAGCCGAUGGAGAUAAUAACAGCAUAGUUUUUCUUUUUCUUGUAUUGCCAACGCCAAGCAGAACAAAAGUUACGGCUGGGUCAACGGGUAAUAAGAAUAAGAGCUCGCGGUGAUGUAUCGAACCCUACAACAUUGUUUCUUACUUCCUUCUUAAAAAAGGAAGAGCGAGGCAGAAAUAUUAACAACAUUUUAGCUUGAAAAUCUCAAUCAUGGUAAGGAGCCUUUUUUUAAUUGUUAAGAGGUAAUCAUGGAAAUGAACUUUGAAAGCGAGGACGAUGAGAAGUCGAGAUCCAUAGAACAGAUGGACCAGCCAUGGCGUGAGGUAUACAUCAAUGAAUGACAACCCUCGUUCACCACAAAGCUUCUGUCA
RNAcentral lists this long non-coding RNA (757 nucleotides) under Nicotiana benthamiana. RNAcentral's name for it is "long non-coding RNA (NBEN_LNC011342)". Lineage: Eukaryota; Viridiplantae; Streptophyta; Magnoliopsida; Solanales; Solanaceae. The record is from RNAcentral.